Rosa rugosa (rugosa rose) is the source of this 941-nucleotide long non-coding RNA. RefSeq lists it as uncharacterized. NCBI's taxonomy places the organism in Eukaryota, Viridiplantae, Streptophyta, Magnoliopsida, Rosales, Rosaceae. The record is from RefSeq and is a predicted model, not a curated record. The transcript is spliced from 3 exons.
CGGACAUGGAAGGCUACAUGGGCUCACGCCUAGAUAAGAUUUUGGAAUAAAAACCCUUAGGUAUAUAUAUAUCUCUACCAGCCCAAAAAAAAAAAAAAAAUUAUCUGCAACCAGUUCCUCAGACGCGCAGCGGCACGCCGGCACAUCGAGUCCCUCGAGUUGGGUUCUUCUUCAUGCAGUUCCUUUCAUUGCAGACUUGCAGUCAUCUGCUCAUCUUCUUCCUGUAUCCAAGCUUGCUUUGUUUUCUGAUUUGCUCCAAACGGGGAGAUUUGGGACACAGCAGGACAAGAAAGGUUUCAAAGUCUCAGGGGCAACAUUUUAUGUGUGUGUUCUUGUUUAUAAUGUGAAUGUUCUAAGAUCAUUUGAAACACUUCAGAACUGGCAUGAAGAGUUUCUCAUACAGGUAGGUCCAGCUGACACUGAGGCAUUUCCAUUUAUACUACUCGGCAACAAAAUUGAUAUAGAUGCCUGUUAUAUGUUUUGAUUGGAAAAAAUAAUAAAGGCACGAGGAUGAGCCUCCCAUUGGGUUCCAAACCUAAAAAAAAAAAAAUAUAUAUAUAUAUAUAGAGAAAUUUUAAAAAUUUUGUGCACUUGUAAUUAGCCUAGACGGGUUUCGGAUCCUGGAUCCGCCCCUACUCAUUACUGAGGUAACAACUUGAACAUUCUGACAUACUAGGAUGAGAUGUUAUGUAUAAUUAUGCUCGAUUGUGAAAAAAAAAUGACACAAUUCCCUCAAUAAAUAGCAAUAAUAAAUAAACUUCAAGAAAAAAAAAAAAACAUUACAUAGGCAUAUAUAGUCGUGGCCCUACCUCAUGGACUAGGUUAUAGACUACAAUUCACAUAAAGUAAUCAAUAUAAUAAGCUAAGGCUCAAUUUGGGAUAACUUAGCUUAAAUCAUAUUGAGCUGUAGUUUUUAAAUUAUGAAAACUGCUUUUUACCAA